UUAAACGCGACGAUUAGGAAAGUAGCACUUAAGCAAUUGUUCAGAGAGGUUCCGGUUGGUGAAAGGAAUUCAUAUUGCUAUCUUGUGAAAAUCCCCUAAUCACGGUAAGUGCGAUCAUUAUUUGUGAGUACUUAAUGGCAGCAUCCAUUAUCAUGCUAGCGCAUCGUCACUUAACUUACCGUGCGUGAAGUGAGGCCAGUUUACUGGCAAAUAAUAGGUGGUACCGCGGAAACGCCCUAUAU
Molecule: non-coding RNA, 242 nt
Filed under: Lactiplantibacillus plantarum
Lineage: Bacteria; Bacillati; Bacillota; Bacilli; Lactobacillales; Lactobacillaceae
Description: Lactobacillus plantarum T-box
Rfam family: T-box leader
About the family: Uncharged tRNA acts as the effector for transcription antitermination of genes in the T-box leader family. T-boxes are found upstream of many aminoacyl-tRNA synthetase genes and some amino acid biosynthetic genes usually in Gram-positive bacteria. The anticodon of a specific tRNA base pairs to a specifier sequence within the T-box motif, and the NCCA acceptor tail of the tRNA base pairs to a conserved bulge in the T-box antiterminator hairpin.
Source: RNAcentral